RNAcentral lists this small RNA (581 nucleotides) under Pongo abelii (Sumatran orangutan). RNAcentral describes it as "retained intron". The record is from RNAcentral. Lineage: Eukaryota; Metazoa; Chordata; Mammalia; Primates; Hominidae.
UGCAAGUGUUUAUUUAAUCCUUUAAUAACCCUGGGAGAUAGACAUUACUUAUUAAAUCUCCGUUUUAUAGAUAAGGAAGCUGACACUUAGAGAGGUUAAGUAAUAACUGGUUAAGUUGGAUUUUGAAUCCUAGUUUCUCUGAUUCCAGAGUUUGGACUCUUAACCACCAUAAUCUUUUGCCUGAAUAUAUUUACUUGUUUUGGGUAGUCAUUUUUUUAGGAUAUGGGAGAGAAAGUCUUUAAAACAUUUUUCCCUCCUUUUACUGAGGUACACUGAAAGCCAUUCUGAUGAUGAUUCAAGUAUGGAAGACUACCCAGAUCCACAGUCAGCAAAUCACAUGAACAGUUCCCUGCUGUCUUUAUAUCGGAAAGGAAAUCCUGAUUCUGUUUCAAAUACUCCUGAGAUGGAGCAAAGAGAAACCACCUCUUCAACACCACGGAUAAGUUCCAAAACAGGCUCCAUUCCCUUGAAGACCCCUGCCAAAGAUUCUGAGGGAGGAUGGUUUAUUGACAAAACCCCAAGUGGAAAGAAAGAAAGUUUUUUCUUGGACCUGUCAGAUGAGAAAAGUAAUCCUAAGAAGC